This 567-nucleotide ribosomal RNA is filed under the name uncultured bacterium. RNAcentral describes it as "partial 16S ribosomal RNA". It matches the Rfam family "Bacterial small subunit ribosomal RNA", at positions 355 to 912 of the family's 1533-position model. The record is from RNAcentral.
UGGGGAAUAUUGCACAAUGGGCGCAAGCCUGAUGCAGCCAUGCCGCGUGUGUGAAGAAGGCCUUCGGGUUGUAAAGCACUUUCAGCGAGGAGGAAGGUGGUGAGCUUAAUACGCUCAUCAAUUGACGUUACUCGCAGAAGAAGCACCGGCUAACUCCGUGCCAGCAGCCGCGGUAAUACGGAGGGUGCAAGCGUUAAUCGGAAUUACCGGGCGUAAAGCGCACGCAGGCGGUUUGUUAAGUCAGAUGUGAAAUCCCCGGGCUCAACCUGGGAACUGCAUUUGAAACUGGCAAGCUAGAGUCUCGUAGAGGGGGGUAGAAAUUCCAGGUGUAGCGGUGAAAUGCGUAGAGAUCUGGAGGAAUACCGGUGGCGAAGGCGGCCCCCUGGACGAAGACUGACGCUCAGGUGCGAAAGCGUGGGGCAGCAAACAGGAUUAGAUACCCUGGUAGUCCACGCUGUAAACGAUGUCGAUUUGGAGGUUGUGCCCUUGAGGCGUGGCUUCCGGAGCUAACGCGUUAAAGUCGACCGCCUGGGGAGUACGGCGCAAGGUUAAAACUCAAAGGAAUUG